This 127-nucleotide ribosomal RNA is filed under the name Mesocricetus auratus (golden hamster). Lineage: Eukaryota; Metazoa; Chordata; Mammalia; Rodentia; Cricetidae. The record is from RNAcentral.
CUCUACGGCCAUACCAACCUGAACGUGCCUGAUCUCGUCUGAUCUCGUAAGAUAAGCAAGGUCGGGCCUAGUUAGUACUUGGAUGGGAGGAAUAAGCUCUUGACUUAAAAAAAAGUAGCCUCAGAUC